GCAUAUCAAUAAGCGGAGGAAAAGAAACCAACAGGGAUUGCCCUAGUAACGGCGAGUGAAGCGGCAACAGCUCAAAUUUGAAAUCUGGCUCUCGGGCCCGAGUUGUAAUUUGUAGAGGAUGCUUUUGAUGCGGUGCCUUCCGAGUUCCCUGGAACGGGACGCCAUAGAGGGUGAGAGCCCCGUCUGGUUGGAUGCCAAAUCUCUGUAAAGCUCCUUCAACGAGUCGAGUAGUUUGGGAAUGCUGCUCUAAAUGGGAGGUAUAUGUCUUCUAAAGCUAAAUACCGGCCAGAGACCGAUAGCGCACAAGUAGAGUGAUCGAAAGAUGAAAAGCACUUUGAAAAGAGAGUUAAAAAGUACGUGAAAUUGUUGAAAGGGAAGCGUUUAUGACCAGACUUGGGCUUGGUUAAUCAUCUGGGGUUCUCCCCAGUGCACUUUUCCAGUCCAGGCCAGCAUCAGUUUUCCCCGGGGGAUAAAGGCGGCGGGAAUGUGGCUCUCUUCGGGGAGUGUUAUAGCCCGCCGUGUAAUACCCUGGGGGGGACUGAGGUUCGCGCAUCUGCAAGGAUGCUGGCGUAAUGGUCAUCAUGACCGUCUUGAAACACGGACC
This 604-nucleotide ribosomal RNA is filed under the name Fusarium sp. Fu1. Its description in RNAcentral is "eukaryotic LSU rRNA". It matches the Rfam family "Eukaryotic large subunit ribosomal RNA", at positions 38 to 667 of the family's 3401-position model. Lineage: Eukaryota; Fungi; Ascomycota; Sordariomycetes; Hypocreales; Nectriaceae. The record is from RNAcentral.